RNAcentral lists this ribosomal RNA (321 nucleotides) under uncultured Prevotella sp. RNAcentral's name for it is "bacterial SSU rRNA". It matches the Rfam family "Bacterial small subunit ribosomal RNA", at positions 28 to 339 of the family's 1533-position model. The record is from RNAcentral. Lineage: Bacteria; Pseudomonadati; Bacteroidota; Bacteroidia; Bacteroidales; Prevotellaceae.
GAUGAACGCUAGCUACAGGCUUAACACAUGCAAGUCGAGGGGUAACAGGAGGAAAGCCUGCUUUUCUUGCUGACGACCGGCGCACGGGUGAGUAACGCGUAUCCAACCUUCCCCUUAGUAGAGGAUAGCCCGGCGAAAGUCGAAUUAAUACUCUAUGUUCUUCCUGGAUGGCAUCUGAUGGGAAGCAAAGGUUCACCGCUAAGGGAUGGGGAUGCGUCUGAUUAGCUUGUCGGCGGGGUAACGGCCCACCAAGCCCUCGAUCGGUAGGGGUUCUGAGAGGAAGGUCCCCCCACAUUGGAACUGAGACACGGUCCAAACUCC